RNAcentral lists this ribosomal RNA (400 nucleotides) under uncultured Desulfuromonas sp. Its description in RNAcentral is "bacterial SSU rRNA". It matches the Rfam family "Bacterial small subunit ribosomal RNA", at positions 984 to 1382 of the family's 1533-position model. The record is from RNAcentral. Lineage: Bacteria; Pseudomonadati; Thermodesulfobacteriota; Desulfuromonadia; Desulfuromonadales; Desulfuromonadaceae.
ACAUCCCGAUCGCACCUUUUGGAAACUUAAGGGUCAGCUCGGCUGGAUCGGUGACAGGUGCUGCAUGGCUGUCGUCAGCUCGUGUCGUGAGAUGUUGGGUUAAGUCCCGCAACGAGCGCAACCCUCGUCCUUAGUUGCCAGCAUUAAGUUGGGCACUCUAAGGAGACUGCCGGUGUUAAACCGGAGGAAGGCGGGGAUGACGUCAAGUCCUCAUGGCCCUUAUGUCCAGGGCUACACACGUGCUACAAUGGCCGGUACAAAGGGUAGCAAGACCGCGAGGUGGAGCCAACCCCAAAAAGCCGGUCUCAGUUCGGAUUGGAGUCUGCAACUCGACUCCAUGAAGUUGGAAUCGCUAGUAAUCGUGGAUCAGCAUGCCACGGUGAAUACGUUCCCGGGCCUU